RNAcentral lists this ribosomal RNA (253 nucleotides) under uncultured bacterium. RNAcentral's name for it is "partial 16S ribosomal RNA". It matches the Rfam family "Bacterial small subunit ribosomal RNA", at positions 524 to 776 of the family's 1533-position model. The record is from RNAcentral.
GACGAGGGAUCCUAGCGUUGUUCGGAAUUAUUGGGCGUAAAGCGGGUGUAGGCGGCUCUAUAAGUCAGGUGUGAAAGCCCAGGGCUCAACCCUGGAAGUGCACUUGAUACUGUAGAGCUUGAAUGUGGUAGAGGUUACUGGAAUUGCUGGUGUAGUGGUGAAAUACGUAGAUAUCAGCAGGAAUACCGGAGGCGAAGGCGGGUAACUGGGCCAACAUUGACGCUGAGACCCGAAAGCGUGGGGAUCAAACAGG